GGGGCGGCGACACCUGUACUAUGGACUGCAAAACCAGGAAACACUGACAAGGAGGUGCACCGCCAGCAAUUCAGGGACCACUGAAAUAGCCAUCAUUGCUGCGAGCUUCGCUAGCGGCACCAACUUGGCAGCACUGCAUCUGGUGCACGCAAUGGACGAUCCCGCAGGUCCUUCGUGUAUUUCAUCCAGCCCUUGCUCCACCAAAGACGACUUCCGCGGUUUGACCGUCCCUCAGCCGACAGUUUCUCCUCCCUGCUGGUGCCCCACUGCUUUCUCGUAAUGGACCUUUGCUCGGCGAUCUGCAGUCACUUGCCUUGCCAACUUUCGCACCUGGCACACGCAAGGGACAAUCCUGCCAGUCCUUGUACGUCAUCCACUCCUUGCUUCAGAGAAGAUGACGACCCCACUAGACCGUCCCUCAGCAGACGGUGUUUCUUCUC
Rhipicephalus sanguineus (brown dog tick) is the source of this 440-nucleotide long non-coding RNA. RefSeq lists it as uncharacterized. The transcript is spliced from 3 exons. Lineage: Eukaryota; Metazoa; Arthropoda; Arachnida; Ixodida; Ixodidae. The record is from RefSeq and is a predicted model, not a curated record.